This 200-nucleotide unclassified non-coding RNA is filed under the name Basidiomycota sp. RNAcentral's name for it is "partial internal transcribed spacer 2". Lineage: Eukaryota; Fungi; Basidiomycota. The record is from RNAcentral.
UUAAGUUCAGCGGGUAGUCCCACCUGAUUCGAGGUCAAAGGGUGAAGUGAGUUUGUCACAAAGGACGAUUAGAAGCAAUCCAAGGCAUACAUGGCCAUCCGCCCUAGAGCAGAUGUCCUCAGCGGUCAGAGAAUUAUCACGCCGAGUAGAACCAAGUACACAAGUCAUGGAUCAGCUAAUGCAUUUAAGACGAGCCGUCA